Cryptotermes secundus is the source of this 532-nucleotide long non-coding RNA. RefSeq lists it as uncharacterized. NCBI's taxonomy places the organism in Eukaryota, Metazoa, Arthropoda, Insecta, Blattodea, Kalotermitidae. The record is from RefSeq and is a predicted model, not a curated record. The transcript is spliced from 3 exons.
UCAAGUAGCGUAAACCUGAUGUACGUAGUUGACUUAUAACCCAGUUUAAGAAACUUGGCAAGAGCUGGCCUUCAUUUGACUAAUUGCGUCCCAGACUGUCGUUCGUACUGAAGGUUCUGUUGGUUUCUUGUCUGCACAGUUGCUUAAGCAGAGGCUCCUUCAUUCGGCCAAGAUUAUUUUAUUCCGACAACAAGGUUAUGAAGAACUGAGCUGACAGGACAUGGUCCAAUGAUGGUAGUUGAGGACCUUUGUGUCUCAUACAAACAGGGAAAUUCUUAGCCAACUACAAAGUGCAAACAGGAGCCUGUGUGGGAAAGAUGGCUGUAUAAGCACUUUGGUGAGGAAAUGCAUGAAGAAACGGAGAGGGUCUCUGAGAUUUUGGGAAGCAGCAGAAACAAGAAACUGACGCUAGGACAAGCGUGGAGGAGGACAAGAACUAGAGUCCACUCCCGCAGGAACCUUCGAACUUCCUUCAGCACCAACACGGAUAUCACUAUCUUCUGCACCCUCUACAAGGAGGAACUUAAUUUUA